RNAcentral lists this ribosomal RNA (253 nucleotides) under uncultured bacterium. Its description in RNAcentral is "partial 16S ribosomal RNA". It matches the Rfam family "Bacterial small subunit ribosomal RNA", at positions 524 to 776 of the family's 1533-position model. The record is from RNAcentral.
UACGAAGGGGGCUAGCGUUGUUCGGAAUCACUGGGCGUAAAGGGCGCGUAGGCGGCUUUGUAAGUCGGGGGUGAAAGCCUGUGGCUCAACCACAGAAUUGCCUUCGAUACUGCAUGGCUUGAGACCGGAAGAGGUUAGUGGAACUGCGAGUGUAGAGGUGAAAUUCGUAGAUAUUCGCAAGAACACCAGUGGCGAAGGCGGCUGACUGGUCCGGUUCUGACGCUGAGACGCGAAAGCUAGGGGAGCGAACAGG